AUUGAACGCUAGCGGGAUGCUUUACACAUGCAAGUCGAACGGAGUGGCGGACGGGUGAGUAAUAUAUCGGAACGUGCCCAGUAGCGGGGGAUAACUACUCGAAAGAGGGGCUAAUACCGCAUACUAUUGGAUCGGCCGAGUUCGGAUUAGCUUGUGGGUGGGGAAAAGGCUCACCAAGGCCACGAUCCGUAGCUGGUUUGAGAGGAGGACCAGCCACACUGGGACUGAGACAGGGCCCAGACUCCUACGGGAGGCAGCAGUGGGGAAUAUUGCACAAGGGGCGCAAGCCUGAUGCAGCCAUGCCGCGUGUAUGAAGAAGGCCUUCGGGUUGUAAAGUACUUUCAGUCGGGAGGCGUUACCGACAGAAGAAGCACCGGCUAACUCCGUGCCAGCAGCCGCGGUAAUAC
RNAcentral lists this ribosomal RNA (407 nucleotides) under uncultured bacterium. RNAcentral's name for it is "partial 16S ribosomal RNA". It matches the Rfam family "Bacterial small subunit ribosomal RNA", at positions 30 to 526 of the family's 1533-position model. The record is from RNAcentral.